UCGAGAAUCUUUCACAAUGGGGGCAACCCUGAUGGAGCGACGCCGCGUGGAGGAUAAGGUCUUCGGAUUGUAAACUCCUGUCAUGUGGGAGCAAGGCCUCACGGUUAACACCUGUGAUGUUUGAUAGUACCACAAGAGGAAGAGACGGCUAACUCUGUGCCAGCAGCCGCGGUAAUACAGAGGUCUCAAGCGUUGUUCGGAAUCACUGGGCGUAAAGGGUGUGCAGGCGGUGUGCUAAGUCAGAUGUGAAAGCCCGGGGCUCAACCUCGGAACUGCAUCCGAUACUGGCAUGCUAGAGAAUUGGAGAGGAGUCUAGAAUUCACGGUGUAGCAGUGAAAUGCGUAGAUAUCGUGAGGAAUACCAAGUGCGAAGGCAGGACUCUGGACAUUUUCUGACGCUGAGACACGAAGGCCAGGGGAGCAAACGGGAUUAGAUACCCCCGUAGUCC
Molecule: ribosomal RNA, 448 nt
Filed under: uncultured bacterium
Lineage: Bacteria
Description: bacterial SSU rRNA
Rfam family: Bacterial small subunit ribosomal RNA
Source: RNAcentral